UACGGAGGGUGCAAGCGUUAUCCGGAUUUACUGGGGUUAAAGGGUGCGCAGGCGGAUAUGUAAGUCAGUGGUGAAAUCUCUAGGCUUAACCUGGAAAUUGCCGUUGAUACUAUAUAUCUUGAAUGUUGUGGAGGUAAGCAGAAUAUGUCAUGUAGCGGUGAAAUGCUUAGAUAUAACAUAGAAUACCUAUUGCGAAGGCAGCUUACUACGCAGAUAUUGACGCUCAUGCACGAAAGCGUGGGGAUCAAACAGG
This 253-nucleotide ribosomal RNA is filed under the name uncultured bacterium. RNAcentral describes it as "partial 16S ribosomal RNA". It matches the Rfam family "Bacterial small subunit ribosomal RNA", at positions 524 to 776 of the family's 1533-position model. The record is from RNAcentral.